UGUUAUAACAAUGGGGUAGAGAAUGAUAAGGGAGCUAUUGAUAAAAGAGAUUUCAACAUAUUUUUAGACAAUAAAGAUAAAAGUUAUACACUGCAAAGCUUCUUUACCAAUGAAAUUUGCCUUAUUCUUUCAUUCUAUACUUAUUUGGAAACAAUUCUAGAUAUACAAAAACAAAAAAACAUUAAUAGUAAAAAGAGUUCCCAUUAUAUACUUCAUCCAGCUUCUUUUAAUGUUAACGUCUUAGACAACCAUAAUGCAAUUAAAGUAUACAAAAUUAACAUUGAUUCAAUAAAUAUAAUCUACAAACUGUGAUCUGAGAGACUAAAAUAGACU
This 333-nucleotide long non-coding RNA is filed under the name Homo sapiens (human). RNAcentral's name for it is "non-protein coding lnc-CHAC2-7:1". The record is from RNAcentral. Lineage: Eukaryota; Metazoa; Chordata; Mammalia; Primates; Hominidae.